GCCUUCGUGGUGUAAUGGUCAGCACACUGAGCCGGUAUUUCAGAGGUCAGCGGUUCGAUCCCCGGCGAAGGCA
Molecule: non-coding RNA, 73 nt
Organism: Stegodyphus mimosarum
Lineage: Eukaryota; Metazoa; Arthropoda; Arachnida; Araneae; Eresidae
Source: Rfam